CUGCAGAAUAGCCCCGCCCCCCUCAGUUUCUAUGAUCUGUACCUGCAGAAUAGCCCCGCCCCCCUCAGUUUCUAUGAUCUGUACCUGCAGAAUAGCCCCGCCCCCUCAGCUCAUCUUUCCUCUCUGUGUGUGUGAGGGGGACGUCUUUAUUUGAGCGAUAAAAGAAAAAUGAUUUCUCGUUGUUCUAGUUGUUGUUUGGAGUUUGGAGGACUGAUGAUCAACUCGUGGACAGAGACAAACUGGAACAUCACCAGCAGCCUCAGCAGAUCUUCCUAUUUAAAUCUGAGCUGCGGUGGAAAGCAGCCGAAUAUUUGAUGUUCAGCAGCUGAAGCUGAAGACACUUUUUGUUGAUUUUUCUUUUUAUAUAUUUUGCUUCACCAGCAGGUAAAAGUGGUUUCUCAUCAGAAGGUUUUAUAACUGGAAGAACUCUUGGCUGGUCUUUCCUCUGGCUCUGAUAAAAACCAGGAAGUGGACUAACAGGAGUCCUGUGUGGACGGACUGAACCGAGCCGGAGCUGAUUCCACCAGUGUACAGAGACUGCAUGAUAUUUAGGUGUGGGACGGGGACUUGUCUUGUUGUGGAUUAUUUUUAAAUACCUGAACAAAUCAAAGUGUGUGUGUGUGUGUGUGUGUGUGUGUGUGUGUGUGUGUGUGUCUAUGAUGACAUGAGAAGAAGCCAUGUAUUAAAAUAUCACAUUUAUGCUGCAGAACCGUUGUGAGGAACCGGUGGUUUGUGUUGUGGACUCGCCGGUGUGACUCCGACUAGCAAUAAGAACCCAAAAGCUUUAUUUAGAUUUCCUGUUUGAGAUCAGACCGUCUGGGUCUGUUGAUUCUGUUUAUUUUAGUUGAUUUUUCCUCUGACAUAUAAAUGCAUAUAAAACUGUGAAAAUCCAUGUGUUCAGUUAAAGGGUGACUUUUAGGUUAGUUUAUUUUAUUUGCAUGUUAAUCUAAUUGGUUGAGUUAUGGAUGAUUUCUUCUUCCUCCAUUGUGUCUCACAUAUGAAACGAUAUCUAAUCUCGCUCUCAGGGUCUGUCACCAAUCCAUUAUUUGAAACUCGUGUUCUGAUUUCCUGAGUCCAAACAUGUCCUGAUUCUUUUUGCUUUUUAUUUUUGAUCAUGAUUUAAAUCGUCAAAUCACUACAUUGAGCACUUGACUGUGAAGCUGCCGUCAGCUGACAGAGCGUCUCCAUCUUUCCUGUGUUUGUGUCGGACAGAGGACGUCAGUGUGCUGGACCUCAAUCAGAGAGCAUUAAUUCACAAUCUUCUCCAAACUGUUAAAACACCAACAUGUAUCCACCCCAAUAAGAAGAAGCAAUAAAGAUUAAAGGAAAGGUGUGAAUCAACA
Long non-coding RNA from Austrofundulus limnaeus, 1343 nucleotides. RefSeq lists it as uncharacterized. The record is from RefSeq and is a predicted model, not a curated record. Lineage: Eukaryota; Metazoa; Chordata; Actinopteri; Cyprinodontiformes; Rivulidae. The transcript is spliced from 2 exons.